UAACUCUAGAGCUAAUACAUGCCACGAAGCCCUGACCCGCGAGGGAAUGGGUGCACUUAUUAGAUCAGAAGCCAACCGGGCGGGCUGCUUCGGCUGUUCGUCUGUUGCCCUUCUGGUGACUCUGGAUAAUUGUUACAGAUCGCACCGGCCUUGAGUCGGCGACGGGUCCUUCAAAUGUCUGCCCUAUCAACUUUCGAUGGUAGGUGAUCUGCCUACCAUGGUGAUAACGGGUAACGGGGAAUCAGGGUUCGAUUCCGGAGAGGGAGCCUGAGAAACGGCUACCACUUCCAAGGGAGGCAGCAGGCGCGCAAAUUACCCACUCCCAGUACGGGGAGGUGGUGACGAAAAAUACUGAUGCGGGACUCAUAAACGAGGCUCCGUAAUCGGAAUGAGUGAACUCUAAAUCCUUUCACGAGGAUCAAUUGGAGGGCAAGUCUGGUGCCAGCAGCCGCGGUAACUCCAGCUCCAAUAGCGUAUAUUAAAGUUGCUGCAGUUAAAAAGCUCGUAGUUGGAUCUCGGUAUCACUGUUUCCUGCCAAGCCUUGAUCAGUUGGGCUAGCGAUACAUGGGUUCCGCUCGUGUUGUCCUGGUCUGGCUGUGUUGAGUUGGUGUGGGAGCGGUGUCACCUUUCAGCCAUGUCUGUGGUGCAAUACCCGCAGGUGUAGGCGGGUGUCAGGCGGUGCUUUGCUUCAGUGAGGUCCGUCGGCUCGUCUGCAUGCCUUUGGAUGCCCUUCAAAAGGUGUCUGUGGGCGGAUGGCACGUUUACUUUGAACAAAUUUGAGUGCUCAAAUCAGGCCGAUGUUGCCUGAAAAGUUUUGCAUGGAAUAAUGGAAUAGGACUUCGGUUCUAUUUUGUUGGUUUUUCGGAUCCGAAGUAAU
This 877-nucleotide ribosomal RNA is filed under the name Hepatoxylon trichiuri. Its description in RNAcentral is "SSU rRNA". It matches the Rfam family "Eukaryotic small subunit ribosomal RNA", at positions 153 to 866 of the family's 1831-position model. The record is from RNAcentral. Lineage: Eukaryota; Metazoa; Platyhelminthes; Cestoda; Trypanorhyncha; Hepatoxylidae.